RNAcentral lists this non-coding RNA (22 nucleotides) under Rattus norvegicus (Norway rat). Lineage: Eukaryota; Metazoa; Chordata; Mammalia; Rodentia; Muridae. The record is from RNAcentral.
UUCCUUCUCCAUCUCGUGUGUA